Non-coding RNA from Podospora aff. communis PSN243, 98 nucleotides. The record is from the annotation of a GenBank genome assembly. Lineage: Eukaryota; Fungi; Ascomycota; Sordariomycetes; Sordariales; Podosporaceae.
GCCUUCUUAGCUCAGUGGUAGAGCGCGUCACUCGUAUUUCCCCUUCUAAAAUUGGUUCUACUAUGACGAGGUCGCUUGUUCGAUCCAGGCAGGAGGCA